GAUCCCGGCUUAGGACGAAUGCUGGCGGCGUGCUUCAUACAUGCAAGUCGAACGAGAAGUUACCUUCGGGUAAUGGAAAGUGGCGGACGGGUGAGUAAUGUGUAGAGAAUCUGCCCUAGAGUGGGGGACAACAGUUGGAAACGACUGCUAAUACCGCAUAUGCGCGUAGCUGGAAUGCUAUUCGUGAAAACUCCGGUGCUCUGGGAUGAGUCUGCAUCUGAUUAGCUAGUUGGGGGUGUAAUGGACCACCAAGGCGACGAUCAGUAGCUGGUUUGAGAGGAUGAUCAGCCACAAUGGGACUGAGACACGGCCCAUACUCCUACGGGAGGCAGCAGUAGGGAAUUUUGCGCAAUGGGGGAAACCCUGACGCAGCAACGCCGCGUGAUUGAAUAAGCCCUUCGGGGUGUAAAGAUCUGUCAGUGGGGACGAAACUUGGCGGUACCCACAGAGGAAGCAUCGGCUAACUCCGUGCCAGCCGCGGC
Molecule: ribosomal RNA, 482 nt
Filed under: uncultured bacterium
Lineage: Bacteria
Description: bacterial SSU rRNA
Rfam family: Bacterial small subunit ribosomal RNA
Source: RNAcentral